This is a non-coding RNA of Mus musculus (house mouse), 139 nucleotides long. The record is from Rfam. NCBI's taxonomy places the organism in Eukaryota, Metazoa, Chordata, Mammalia, Rodentia, Muridae.
AGCUAAAUGGUCAAAGAGGCCCUUUGUCGGUGGUGUUGAUCUUCUACCAGUCAGGGGCAGAACAGAUGGCAGUCCUUUGUUCAUCCUAGCUUGGUGCCUGGCUUGGUGACCAAAGCUGUUUUAAGCCUAGGACACAUAU